GGUGGUUCUAGGGUGACAUACCAGGAUUACACUCCCUCCUCUCUGGUUCUGGGUGUGUCACCCGAGAACCACA
Molecule: non-coding RNA, 73 nt
Organism: Myotis davidii
Lineage: Eukaryota; Metazoa; Chordata; Mammalia; Chiroptera; Vespertilionidae
Source: Rfam